GAGAAUGUGGGAAAGAGGAAAGGGGAUGAGACAAUGUCAGAAAAGCUUAUGGAUUUUAUUUCAAGGUAUCUAGGAUUGAGUUAACACUGAUCCAGAAAACCCACAGUGAAAAUUGAGUUGAUUUGACUCACCCCUACUACAGAAAGAAAUAAGCACUCAUGGCAUAUUUUUUAACUUUUUCAUCUGGACACACCUUGAAAGACUGUACAAAGUAAACAUCUCACACAUUGUUUUCUUGA
This is a long non-coding RNA of Pezoporus flaviventris, 239 nucleotides long. RefSeq lists it as uncharacterized. The transcript is spliced from 2 exons. NCBI's taxonomy places the organism in Eukaryota, Metazoa, Chordata, Aves, Psittaciformes, Psittacidae. The record is from RefSeq and is a predicted model, not a curated record.